This 165-nucleotide ribosomal RNA is filed under the name Triticum aestivum (bread wheat). RNAcentral's name for it is "partial small subunit ribosomal RNA". The record is from RNAcentral. Lineage: Eukaryota; Viridiplantae; Streptophyta; Magnoliopsida; Poales; Poaceae.
AUGAAGAUUGUGGCGUGGAAUUGUCAGGGUUUGGGGAAUGGCCCGACAAUUCGAGGACUCCUGGACGUCCAGAAAAAGGAGGACCCCGAUGUGCUCUUCUUGUUUGAGUCUAGAACAAAUAAACAAGGUCUUGAAUGACUUAGGUGGAAACGUUGGGCUCCAUAA